RNAcentral lists this small RNA (19 nucleotides) under Arabidopsis thaliana (thale cress). RNAcentral's name for it is "ATSL238580". The record is from RNAcentral. Lineage: Eukaryota; Viridiplantae; Streptophyta; Magnoliopsida; Brassicales; Brassicaceae.
AAAAAAAAGUAGAAAAACA